AGAGACUGAUUAUGCAGAUUUCAAAAAAACUGAAAAAGAUGGAGAAAGAGGAGGACAAGGAGGAGGAAGAGGGAAGUAAAAGAAAAGAGAAGGCAGCAUAUGGAUUAGAGCUUCCCUUAAGAGGAAUCUUUUGUGGCACAGGAUGGCACAUUAAUCCUCCAGGUUUCCACCAAACUCUUGCUGAGACAAUCACUCCAAGGGAACAAUAGUAUGUACUGUUGCAGCUUUACUUGGAUGCGAGUGGUGCUUAGAUUGCAUAACAUGUCACUUUAAACGACGCUUUGAUUUAUUGUACAACGUUAGGAUGAAUAAGAAUAAGCAUUUCAAAGGCUGGUGUACACAUUUAUUUUUAGGAAUCAUAAUUGUUUAAUGAGGCAUAUAUUGUUUCUACAUACAACAAAUUAAACAUAGGAAGAUUGCAACAAGUAUAUACAGGAGUUACACAAAUGGGAAUGGGAGAGGACAGAGAG
Molecule: long non-coding RNA, 470 nt
Organism: Portunus trituberculatus (swimming crab)
Lineage: Eukaryota; Metazoa; Arthropoda; Malacostraca; Decapoda; Portunidae
Exons: 2
Source: RefSeq, a predicted model, not a curated record